RNAcentral lists this ribosomal RNA (115 nucleotides) under Danio rerio (zebrafish). Lineage: Eukaryota; Metazoa; Chordata; Actinopteri; Cypriniformes; Danionidae. The record is from RNAcentral.
GCCGGCAGCUAGCUCUCUGCAACUCUCACAUGGCUGUCCAUUGAAGCCAAGCAGGGCUGUGCCUGGUCAGUACCUGGAUGGGAGACCACAUGUAAAAACUAGGUUGCUGCUGGAA